This 301-nucleotide ribosomal RNA is filed under the name uncultured bacterium. RNAcentral's name for it is "partial 16S ribosomal RNA". It matches the Rfam family "Bacterial small subunit ribosomal RNA", at positions 509 to 807 of the family's 1533-position model. The record is from RNAcentral.
CAGCAGCCACGGGAAUACGUAGGGUGCAAGCGUUAAUCGGAAUUACUGGGCGUAAAGCGUGCGCAGGCGGUUUUGUAAGACAGAGGUGAAAUCCCCGGGCUCAACCAGGGAACUGCCUUUGUGACUGCAAGGCUAGAGUACGGCAGAGGGGGAUGGAAUUCCGCGUGUAGCAGUGAAAUGCGUAGAUAUGCGGAGGAACACCGAUGGCGAAGGCAAUCCCCUGGGCCUGUACUGACGCUCAUGCACGAAAGCGUGGGGAGCAAACAGGAUUAGAUACCCCUGUAGUCCCUGUCUCUUAUAC